GCUGACAUGCUGACCGACUUUUGUUCUCGAAUGAUAAAAAUAUAUGUUUUCCCCCAAAUUACUUGUAUUCAUGUAAUUUAAAUCAGUGUUUGAAUUACUUUCCCCAUAUUUAAGGCCUUUAUUUAUUAGGAAUGGGUCGCACAAGAGGGGGUAGAAGACAUGUUCUACAGCUAAACGACAACCAAGAGAGUUACCUAGCCAAAUAUGGAUACAGCAGACAGGAUGAAGAUGGUAAG
Long non-coding RNA from Saccostrea cuccullata (small rock oyster), 236 nucleotides. RefSeq lists it as uncharacterized. The transcript has 3 exons. Lineage: Eukaryota; Metazoa; Mollusca; Bivalvia; Ostreida; Ostreidae. The record is from RefSeq and is a predicted model, not a curated record.